AACGAACGCUGGCGGCGCGCCUAACACAUGCAAGUCGAACGAGAAUCCGGGGCAACCCGGUAGUAAAGUGGCAAACGGGUGAGGAAUACAUGGGUAACCUACCCUUGAGAAGGGAAUAACCCGCCGAAAGGUGAGCUAAUACCCUAUACGCCUAUCUUUUUUUCGAAAAGGAUAGGAAAGCCGGGUCGAGGGACCUGGUACUCAAGGAGGGGCUCAUGUCCUAUCAGCUUGUUGGUGGGGUAACGGCCUACCAAGGCUACGACGGGUAGCUGGUCUGACGAGGAUGAUCAGCCACACUGGCACUGAGAUACGGGCCAGACUCCUACGGGAGGCAGCAGUGACGGAAUAUUGCGCAAUGGGCGAAAGCCUGACGCAGCGACGCCGCGUGGGGGACUGAAGGGUUUUCGGAUUGUAAACCCCUUUCAUGAGGAAGAUAAAGUGGGUAACCACUUAGACGGUACCUCAGAGAAGCCACGGCUAACUCGUG
RNAcentral lists this ribosomal RNA (487 nucleotides) under uncultured bacterium. RNAcentral describes it as "bacterial SSU rRNA". It matches the Rfam family "Bacterial small subunit ribosomal RNA", at positions 29 to 507 of the family's 1533-position model. The record is from RNAcentral.